UCAGGCCUAACACAUGCAAGUCGAGCGGAUGAGUGGAGCUUGCUCCAUGAUUCAGCGGCGGACGGGUGAGUGGUGCCUAGGAAUCUGCCUGGUAGUGGGGGAUAUCGUUUCGAAAGGAACGCUAAUACCGCAUACGUCCUACGGGAGAAAGUGGGGGAUCUUCGGACCUCACGCUAUCAGAUGAGCCUAGGUCGGAUUAGCUAGUUGGUGGGGUAAUGGCCCACCAAGGCGACGAUCCGUAACUGGUCUGAGAGGAUGAUCAGUCACACUGGAACUGAGACACGGUCCAGACUCCUACGGGAGGCAGCAGUGGGGAAUAUUGGACAAUGGGCGAAAGCCUGAUCCAGCCAUGCCGCGUGUGUGAAGAAGGUCUUCGGAUUGUAAAGCACAUUGAAGUUGGAGGAAGGGCAGUAAGUUAAUACC
This 423-nucleotide ribosomal RNA is filed under the name uncultured bacterium. RNAcentral's name for it is "bacterial SSU rRNA". It matches the Rfam family "Bacterial small subunit ribosomal RNA", at positions 42 to 465 of the family's 1533-position model. The record is from RNAcentral.